AAUAAGAUGGCUGAAGAUUAAGGCAUUAAACUGUAAAUUUAAUAAUGGGUUYAUUUAACUCUCUUAUUA
RNAcentral lists this transfer RNA (69 nucleotides) under Ceratophysella communis. Its description in RNAcentral is "tRNA-Tyr". Lineage: Eukaryota; Metazoa; Arthropoda; Collembola; Poduromorpha; Hypogastruridae. The record is from RNAcentral.